Molecule: long non-coding RNA, 13130 nt
Filed under: Triticum aestivum (bread wheat)
Lineage: Eukaryota; Viridiplantae; Streptophyta; Magnoliopsida; Poales; Poaceae
Description: long non-coding RNA (TAES_LNC014726)
Source: RNAcentral
UGAUUAAGCCCUCCUAAGGAUAAAUCAGUGUCUAUAUGAAUGCAACCAUGCACCUUUUAUCUCUUUGUCUUCUACAUAACCCAAUUCAUAUGAUACCCUUGGUUUUUUUGAACUUGAGGGGUAAGAGUCUACACAUAUUUGUACCCUAGAGCCGACAUAACAUGCUAGAGUAAACUCAUAUUUUUAUCCUAGAGUCUACACAUAUUUGUCAUGUCUAGAUGAGUCUCGAAUAGACAACAAUCGUCUAGAUCAAUCUUUUUUGAAAUGAUAUAAGGGCAAAAAAGGUGUAACAGCGAAAGGCAAGAAAAGGAAACACGAGUCUGCUGGGCCUGGGGCUGAUGUGUAUCUCUACUACUAUAAAAUAAGCAAACGUUAACUCCCCUAAACGCAUCCCGCUUACUGUACACAGAAGAAAACACAUCAAUUGGAGGGUCAAGAUAAGCCUACUCAAUGGGAUCUAACCGUGAAUACAUAAAAGUACCCCUCACGUUGUACGCUAAGCAAUUUAGGUGGGCGGACGAAACUCUGUCGUCCUUCAGCCAACGCCAACUAAAAGAAAAGAAAAAAAACACAGUGAAACAGCCACAUCCGCUCCAAAAUUAGUGGCAACCAAUCCUCCCGUCGCUCUUCAGAGUUGCCCUCCACCGAAACGCCCGCGCCGAGGAUGCCCGCACCGACGACGCCAGACGACGGCGGCACCGACGACGCCAGACGACGGCCGCACCGACGACGCCGAUGACGACCGCGACAUCCAUGACGACGACCUCCUCGCCAACACAGGUGCAUGCUUUCUCUUCAAUCUUUCAGACGCCGUCGCCUACACUGUCGCGACUGUCUCCGGACUAAGCAUCGGCGGCGGCAAACUCCUCGGCAGGCUGAUUUGCAAGCAUGUGAGGAUGUUAACAAUGACAUCCGUUCAUUGCUCCUGUUUCUGUUCUGCAUAGUUCUGCAUAAAUAGUGAAACCAUGGUUAAUCCACAUACUAGGAUCUAUGAUUGUCCAUGUAAUCGAUGCAAGAGAUGAACCAUAUGCCGUGAGCAUAUGUUAUGAAAACCAAUCAUAAAGUGCAUGAGCAAGUGAAAUCAUACCAUGGAUCCUCAGCAGAUCCCCAUGGUACUGAAAAUUUGAUACCACUGACCUAACCUAUGACUGAAACAAAUCUUUGUAGUUUGCCACAAUGUUCUGUCAAAUUAAUAUGUACAUAUAAAAUUCACACUGACUGUGACCUCUUGGUUCCGAACAUUAAUCUAUAUGAAUAUUAUUACAAACUACAGAGCUACAUGUUUACCGCCAAUGUCCCCUCAAAAUCAUAUGACCAUAAGAAAAUACACCCUAUACAUGAGGCCUGUUGAUCGAAAGCGACAAUUGAGAAUCAAUCUAUUACAAAGAUGUCCCCUCAAAAUCAUAUGACCAUAAGAAAAUACACCCUAUGCAUGAGGCCUCUUGAAAGCGACAAUUGCGAUUGAAUCUAUUACAAAGUACAUCAUUACAUUUCGAGGUUGUUGGUUCCAUAUUCUAAAUGAUGGUCUUGCACUCCAUUAAAUAUAAUGAUCUCACAUCUUUUUACAGGAGUUCAUAUGGGCCCUACCACUCCCAACAGGACCCCCACUCCCAGCAGGACGCGCACCCCCUUCCAGGAUAUAAGCAACAACCAAACAUCAGGUAUUGAUCAUAACCCAGUCAGGACGUGCACCCCCUUCCAGGAUAUAAGCAACAACCAAACAUCAGGUAUUGAUCACAACCCAGUCACUCAAGUUCGAUACAGUAUUACAACUACUGAACUGUGUCAUGAUUUGCAGACCCAAAGGAACUAAAAAGGUAGAGGGAUAGAGAGCGGUAUGCAAAAAAUAAGAUGAGAUUAAUAAGAGAAGGCGUGAAGCCUAUAAAAGAAAAAAAAUACCACUGAGGAAAUAGAUGGCCUACAUAACGGAACACCUGCACAGCUAGCUGUAUCACAAGGUAAUGAUGAUCAAAUUUCAUUAUCUAUGCCCCAAUUGAAUUGGCAUGUAAUUAUUUUUUCUUCAUCUGUUCAGACACUAAUGAGACUAAGAAUCGGAGGGAAAGGGAGCGUUAUGCACAGAAUAGAGAGGAAAUAUUAAAGAGACAACGCCAAACCCAUGAGCAAAAUAGAAAUAUUACUGCUGCUUUCGAUGGCAGUAACCUUGUGUCACAUAUGCCAGCUACUUGACAAGAGGCGGUCACCCAACUGCAGAACAUUACUGCUGCUUUCAAUGCCAGUAACAUCGUGUCACAUGUGCCAGCUACUGGACAAGAGGCGGUCACCCAGCUGCAAAACAUCACAGGCCCAGAUGGUGCAUUACCAAUUUUAGGACCAUACAAUGGAUUCAUACAAACUGACAAGGAGAAUAUUUCUGACAAUGAUGAAUCCGAUUGGCUGCACAGAAAUGAUGUGUACCAGAUGCAACAAAGUUCAAGAAGAAUGACACUCAUACAACUGUCAGGGGUUGACAACCCCCAACUCAAUACAGUCGUCAAUCUACGUACCCCAGGGGUAACUUUUCAUGAUCAGGGUUAGUUCAUUGAUUUAAUUAAGUUGCUAAAUUAUCAAUAGUGUUUGUUUCUCCUUUAAUUGAGCACUCCGUUCUUCAUUCGAUUGAGACUAGCAUUUGGUUCAUAUCUUCGGUUCAUCCCUACUACUUACUCACUGGGGUCAACCAAUGUUAUCAGGCAACGACCACGGCGAAGAUGCGUAUGGAAUACUGGAGCCCGAUGUCCAGACCAUAAUACUUGAUGGUAUGCAAAAUGGCAGUUUAAGAUUCCUCUACCCCGAUAAUAUGUGUCAUACGCGUAAUUUACGUGACCUUGUGCAUCAUAACUCUGUCCUAAUCAUGAUUUACUAGACUGCUUGGGAGACCGAAACCUUGGAGAAACUGGUGAUGUUGACCCUGAUGAAGAAGCUAGGAUGUUUGCUAGACCAGGUAGAUUAUUGCUAUCAUGAGUUAUGAAUACGACAUAAGAUAGUUAUAUGGUUUGUGCACAAACUUUAAAUAAUGCAAUUGUCCAUUCUUUUCCAGAUGUUGAUUUUGAAUCCUACCGAGUGGCACUGCCAUCGUGGCGAACGGUGGCGCCCCUAACGGUCCUUUUCUGCACUGUUUGGGCGAUCCAGACGGGCAUUUAAUGCCCUUGUCCCCUGCCGUCAGGGUUAGGUAGGGUGCACUGUACAAGUAACUGUACCAACCACCUCACUUUUUACAUUUGUACCCUUCUCUGCGUUGCCACCUGUCGGUGACCCCUUCAGUGUAUAAAAGGAGGCCCAUGCGCAACGUAGAGGGGGUUCGGUUCGACUGGUUCGCAAGGUUCGACCCAUUCAUAACCCAGAAAAAGACUAUGCUCUCUCUCUAUGGAGCAAGAACACAAGAUAAUCAAACAAGCAGCAGUAGGGGUGUUAUCUCUCCGGAGAGCCCCAAAGCUGGGUAAACUGCUCGUGUGCUUCGCCUCGAUCUGCUCUUCGUGCGAUCUCCGCCCCCCGCCGAACCGAAAGGGGCCCGGUCCGCCGGCCCCAUAGGUGUUGGUGAUGGAACUAUCACUAAUGAGCAUCAUGACAGAGUUUACAUGAACCUGCCCAAAAAUCACCAUGUACUUAGAAAAGUUAGCGACUGCUGCCACUGUGGAGCUUUGUGGUUCCAAUACGAGGGGCCUGCAUUUUGUUGCAGGAAGGGAAAAGUUGGUGUAUUUACUCCAGAGGUUGAUGAAGAGUUGAAACGAUUGUUCACAAGUCAGGAUGAUGAGGAUGCAAAAUAUUUCAAAGAUAAUAUACGGUAUUUCAACUCCCACUUCUCAUUCACCAGUCUUGGAGUCACCCUUGAUCGUUGAGUCAGCACUGUGGCAGGAACAGGUGUAUAUACAUUUCGUGCCUGUGGGGGAUUGUACCACACUCUUGAUGAUCUGUCGUCUGGUGAUAAUGGCCCUCGGCAUUUGCAGCUAUAUAUUUAUGAUACGGAUGAAAACUUGCUUCACAGAGUUAAGAGGUCUCCGAAUCUUAGGCUGGAUCUCAUACGGAAGAUUCUAACAAUACUAGAACAUAACCCUUAUGCAAAGGUGUUGAAGAGCCUUGGUGCUGUUCCAAAUCUGGAUGAAUAUAGGAUCUCACUAAACACAGAUAUCAACCUCGAUCAACGAAGGUACAAUGCGCCAACUACUUCUCAGGUUGCAGCAAUAUGGGUUGAAGGAAGCGACCCACAUAAAACCUUUGAUAGGAGUGUUGUUGUAUAUGGUAAAGGAGACCGUCCCCUGUAUAUUAGAGCAUACCAUGGGUGCUACGACCCUUUGUCAUAUCCACUGUUCUUCCCACGUGGGGAGAUCGGUUGGAAUCAUUGGAUGCCAUAUAUUGAGUUAGUCGAUGACACAAACCAAGUUUCAGUGGAUGAAUUUGCACAACAGAACCCAACCUAUGGUUUUCCUUCAAGUAUGAUGUUCAAAAUUGGUAUAUAUCAUAUUAUUUAAAUUAAAACUUAAGCAUUCAUCCAUCUUUCAGAUGAUAACGUGAUUAGAGAACAAGUUGGUCAUAACGCACAGCAUGAAGAGCAACCCACUGAUUUACCUGAAGGUAUAGGUCGUCAUUACUACUUCUAUUAUUCUCUAAAUUCAAACUUAUGCAGUCAUCCAUCUUUCAGAUGAUAACAUGCUUAGAGAACAAGUUGGUCAUAACACACAGCAUGAAGACCAACCCACUGAUUUACCCAAAGGUAUAGGUUGUCAUUACUACUUUUAUUGUUCUUUAAAUUAAAAUUUAUAGUCAUCCAUCUUUCAGAUGAUAACAUGAUUAGAGAACAAGUUGGUCAUAACGCACAGCAUGAAGACUCACCCACUGAUUUACUUGAUGGUAUAGGUCGUCAUUACUACUUUUAUUAUUCUUACUUAUGGUUGUACCUACCAUAACAAUUUUUAUGUUGUUAACCAAUUAUUAGGUGAUGACGAUGAUAACCUGGAUGAGGAUUUUGGUGACGAUGAGAUGAAUCCAACAAAAUCAAGGAAAUUUGUUAGCGCGAGAGAGUACUAUUGCUUCAAGUUGUGUGUCUGGAAGAAGCUUUUUAACAUCAUCUUGUUUGGGGGGCGCCUUUUCCAACAGUGGGUUGUUGACAUGUACAUCAAGAUUGAGACAAUGAGGCUUGACUGGUAUUCAAAGCCAGCAAAUCAAAAGGUUAUACACGCUGACCUGUACCAGGUAACGUGCUUCUAUUUAUCACAAAAUUUACAUGUCAGAUGCCUCACUCUUUGCUUGAACCUUUAUACUAAUUGGAGUGAAAUAUUGUUUUAUUAUAGGGUCUUGUUGACACCGUCGUUGCUGGCGAGUCACGCGGUGAUCGGAUUGGCAAGAGAAUCGUGCUUCCACGUACAUUUCCUGGUGGUGACCGUGACAUGCAGCGCAGGUUUCUGGAUGCGAUGGCAAUAUUUCAACGUUGGGGUAAACCGGAUUAUUUUCUCACGAUGACAUGCAAUCCCUACUGGGAGGAGAUAACGCAGGAAUUGUUGCCUGGACAGCUGCCACAAGACCGCCCAGACCUUGUGGCAAGAGUAUACAGAGCUAAGCAACGAAAUAUGAUGGACUUACUAACUAAGGGUAAGCAUUUCAGAGAAGUCGCAGCUUAUGUACAUGUCACAGAGUUUCAGAAGCGAGGUCUCCCGCAUGAGCAUAUACUUCUAAUCAUGAAAGCAAAAAGCAAGUUAAGGACCCCAGAUGACUAUGAUAGGGUGAUAUCUGCAGAGAUACCCGACAAAAAGAAAUAUCUUGUCCUCCAUGAUCUGGUAGUCAAACACAUGUUGCACGGCCCAUGUGGUGCACUCCAGAAAAUUGCCCUUGCAUGAUAGAUGGACAAUGUCGAUUUCAUUACCCGCGAGAUUUCUGUAAUGCUACAUUACAAGGGAAAGACUCAUAUCCCAUCUAUAGAAGGAGGGACGGCGGGGUUCGAGUAAGGAUCAGGGAGCAGAUUUGGACAAUAGAUGGGUGGUCCCUUACAACCCCUUUCUGCUUAUGAAAUACAACUGUCAUAUAAAUGUCGAAGCAUGCUCAAGCAUCAAGGCAGUCAAGUACUUAUUCAAGUACAUCUACAAAGGGCAUGAUAAGGCAUCAUUUGCAUUCGAGCAGGAUAUUAUCAAUGAUGGGGGAAUCAUUAAUGAAAUUCGUCAAUACAGGGAUGCACGCUAUAUAUCUCCUCCAGAAGCUAUUUACAGGAUUUUUGGGUUUAAAAUGUUUGGUGUUAGUCCAUCUGUGUUACAGCUGCAGCUUCAUUUGCCAAACAUGCACACAGUCGCAUUUAAGGGUUAUGAAAAUCUGGAAGAUGUUGUCGCUCGCCCAACUUCUUCCAAAUCCAUGCUUACCGAGUACUUUGAGAUGAACAAGAAGUAUCCAGCGGCACGAAAAUGGUUGUACAGAGAGUUCCCAGAACAUUAUAGGUGGAUUGCCGCUAAUAAAAAGUGGCAAACGAGAAGAAGUAAGAGAUCACAGAUUGGAAGACUGGUGUAUGCACACCCUGCUGAAGGAGAGAGGUACUACUUGCGGGUGCUCCUAAGUCAUGUCCGAGGUGCCACUUCAUUUGAUGAUUUAAAAACAGUAAAUGGCAAGCCAUGCACUUCCUUCAGAGAGGCAUGUGAGCACUUAGGCCUCAUUGAGCAUGACAGGACACUGGAUGAUUGCAUGACGGAGGCAGCGACAUUUCAAAUGCCUUCUACUCUUAGACGGUUGUUUGCGACUAUACUGGUAUUCUGUGAGGCAACACAAAUCCGUCAAUUGUGGGACAAACAUCUACCAUCGAUGGCUGAAGAUUACCGCCGCACUAAGUCGAACGAGGCAACACUUGAGCAGAUGGUCCUUAGAGAUGUCAGGGAUCUGGUGCAAUCCAUGGGUAAGGAUAUUAAAAUGUAUGGACUUCCAGAUCUGGUUGACACAGAUGGUUCUUCUGACGCCGAGUAUAGAGAGGUAAUAGAGGAGAGACAAGUUAGAGUUGACCAAGAGCAUCUAGAUCUAUUUAGCUGUUUGAACAGUGAACAAAUGGAUGGUUUCAACGACAUGAUGGAUCAUGUGACGAACCAAAAAAGCCAGAUAUUUUUUGUUGAUGGUCCAGGAGGCACUGGGAAGACGUACCUGUACAAGGCAUUGCUUGCAAAGGUCCGUUCGAUGGGCCUAAUAGCGAUCGCAACUGCUACAUCAGGUAUAGCGGCGUCAAUAAUGCCUGGAGGCCGGACUGCGCACUCCAGGUUCAAAAUUCCAAUCAAGCUCACUAACAACAACAUGUGUGGUUUCACAAAGCAGAGUGGUACGGCAGAGUUGCUUAAACAGGCGUCCUUGAUAAUUUGGGAUGAAGUUGCUAUGACAAAGCGUCAAGCAGUUGAGACGCUUGACAGAUCGCUACAAGAUAUAAUGGAAUGUCCUCUGCCGUUUGGUGGAAAGGUUGUUGUCUUUGGUGGGGAUUUCAGGCAGGUCCUCCCCGUUGUUACACGAGGGACAAGAGCACAGAUCACGGAUGCUACACUGUUGAGAUCCUAUCUGUGGGAUAAGAUCCGCAAGAUACGCCUCACGCGCAAUAUGCGGGCACAGGCGGACCCUUGGUUCUCCGAAUACCUCCUAAGGAUUGGCAAUGGAACGGAAGAAACUAUUGGUGACGACUAUGUGCGUCUCCCUGAAGACAUUGUGAUUGGUUAUACUGAGGAUGAAGAACCUAUUAACAAGCUCAUCGAAGAUGUCUUCCCAUCCCUGCACACCAAUGCUAGGUCGAGGGAGUACAUGAGCAAACGUGCAAUUCUCUCGACCAAAAACGAGCAUGUGGAUGACCUGAAUGACAAGAUGAUCUCUAGGUUUCCGGGAGAAGAAAAGGUAUAUCAUAGCUUUGACUCUAUCGAGGAUGACUUCCAGAAUAAUUACACGAUUGAUUUUCUGAACUCCAUCACACCAAAUGGCUUGCCCCCCAUGUCUUGAAAGUAAAAAUCAACUGCCCGAUCAUUUUGCUACGGAACCUCGACCCUCAUAAUGGCUUGUGUAAUGGAACACGGCUUAUGAUCAGAGCCUUCCAGGAUAAUGCAAUCGAUGCGGAGAUUGUUGGUGGCCAGCAUGCUGGAAAGAGGGUGUUCAUACCUAGGAUCCCCAUGUCGCCAUCGGAGGACACCUCACUUCCCUUCAAGCUUAAGAGAAAACAAUUCCCCAUCCGCCUGAGUUUUGCGAUGACCAUUAACAAGGCACAGGGUCAAACCAUCCCGAAUGUCAGUAUUUACCUUCCCGAACAUGUUUUCUCACAUGGCCAGCUAUAUGUUGCAUUGUCAAGGGGUGUGUCAAGAAAGACGACACGAAUUUUAGCCAAGCCUAACAAGGAGGUUGAUAAAUCUGGGAAGAGCACCAAAAACAUUGUCUACAGAGAUGUUUUAGAGGGGUGAGGCAGGUACGAUCUUUCGUGUAUUCUUUGCACCUUUGCUUUUGUAUCUAUAUAACUAAUUCUCGACCUAACACUUUUCUUUUCUUUUAUUUUCAGGUCUUGUUGGGACAGAGUGUGAAGCUUCCUUUACUUUGCGGUGGAGAUGAGUGAUACAAUAAACCAGGCGCUGGAUUAGCCAUAUUAGGGAACAGUCUAUAUUGUAUUCUGUGCUAUCUAAAUAUACUGUAGCGUUCUGUUCUGCUGAAGAUGUUCUCGAACGCCAAAGUGUCCUGCAGUCUUUGAACCCCUUUCAUUUUCUUUCAUGUAAAGUUUUUUUGAAGAUGUCUCCGGCUGUUGAGUAACUUAACUUAUGUUAGCUAUGUCAUAUAUUUGUGAUGAAAACUGCAAGAGUCUAUGAGAUUUGCAGAAUGUAGUGAAGUUGAGAGGCAUUAUUACUACUGUAUGACCAUAGGUCGUUCCCGAAUCUUUGGUACAUGAGAUCACAUGCUUUCUUUUUUUAGAAAGACAAUAGAAUAUUAGAUGGCUUUAGGUUCACUUCAGUGUUUACCUGAAAAUUGGGGACAGCAACAGGCGCGGAAUCGAUUAUGGAACCCUUAAUCUCUUGCACCGCUGAAGGAUCUUGCCGCUGUAAAUCGACAUCAGGAUAACCACACAUUACUAAACACCGAGUCGAAAAAACAGACAGUAGAAUAGGUACAAGAACGUUCCAAGCAAAGCAAUCUUUACCCACAGGAUCCCCUUGACUUGCCUUACAGACUUGACACUGUCUCACAUUCUUGGAACGACUUAAAGCACUUCCCUGGCCCCUCCUAUCAAGCACGGCCGCUGAGGGUACAUUAACUAGCUGGCAAGACAAAUGAUACAAGAAUUGUAUUUCUAUACAGAGAGGUAAACUUUAUGUAUAAAAAAAGGUAAGAGAAAGCACACAAAAGUAUCGAUGAAACGUUCCGAUGAGCUGAACCCAAUAAUUCUGUAUAAAAAUGUAUUACGAAAAUAACUCCUUUAAUUCUGUAUGUGUGGGGUAUAAAAAAACAAAAAAACAUUGGGUCUGAGAUAAACGAGGAAAGUGUGGGGCCUGAGAUAACAAUCACGAUUCCCUGGACUCCUCACGCUAUGGAAGUCCUUCCCGUGAUUUCUGCCUUACAUAUUGCCUAAAACUAACAAUCUCUCGAUCAGGAGCCCAAAGAAGCAACGGGUUUUGCACCGUAGGGUUUCCUUCAACCUCUCCUUCAUCCUCUCUCUCGAUCUGGCAUCCUCACACCCCUCCAUCGCGCUACAUCCUCACACCCCUCCAACGCGCCGGCCUCCUCCACCGCAAGUUUCUCCAGCUUGCGGUACACGUCUGUCCAUGGUGAACUAUCGUCGUCCUCCAUGUCUGCGUCACAAUCCCCGAUGGCAUCUGCAGAUCAAUCUGCCAUCAUCGUGGUAAUGACGUCUCUCUGAAAUUACAUUCUAUUCACGAUUUCACAUCUGAUUUAUCAUGAAACUGGAACAUGGAAAGACAAAGGAAGUGUUUAAAUUAUGCCCAGAAUGACACCAUGGCCAGCAUGGUCUAAGUAAUGAACACUAACCACAGGCCCCCAUAGUUGUGGGAGACUAUUGAGUCCCAGAGAUUUGCAGGACUCCAUUUAUUCAGGGCUAUCGACAGUUAAUCGUGCUUCUGCUGCUGCAACAGCAGCUCAUGAAACAUGCUUACAACGAAAAAUGAUGAGCAGGAUUAGUAUGUUUAUGUAAUUUUUCCUCAAAAUCGCCCCAGUUAUGUAGACUAGGUGAUAAACGUCAUUCACAUUCGCAAGCCACAUGAUAUAAACAUCAGUACAUCACGCACCGUGCUACAAGGCAACACAGUCACUAGAGGGGAUCCAACAAAGUGAAUCAACAUGCUCUGUUUGACCCCGCAAAAUUACCAAAAUGCUCUGCGUUACUAAGGAAAUUCUUAUUACAACAUCCACAUGAUUACUUGAGAGAAUAGUCACACAAGUGAAUCUCCAAAAGUUGACUGGAGCAUUAACAAAGAAAUAGAUCAUUAUUCUGAUAGCACUAUGUUAAGUUAACAUUCGACCCCUAUGUUUUGUACAUCACAACUAGAUGCAGAUAACGGCAUGAUAAUAAUAUAUAUGCUUGGUUUUCAGGAACACAUCGACAGGGGAGCCAAUGACGAGCAUACACAAAAUAUGCAGCUUGAAGGCAUACAAACCAAAGGCGAGGUGUGAAUACCGAGUUAACAACGGCAAAGGAAGAACAAACCAAAUUGGAUGAUACAGAAAAUAUGCAGAUUGAUGAGGUGAUACCCUAAGACAAGCAUACAAACAAUUCUUUACUCACCUUCAUAAUAUUUGCUCUUUUAUAAGUAUUGAAUCAUAUUAUAUUACUGUGAGUUUCAGAGACUAAGCGAGGAAGAAUCAAAUGGAAUAGACGACGAAGAUGAAGUAGAGAAAAAGAAUAGCACACAGACCACAGAUUGCGAAGUGACAAAGGCAGGUUGCUCUCAGGAAUUAAUCGUCAAGAGAACAAGUGAAGAAAUGCGGCCAGCUCAAGACGAUGAAUUGGCACAAACAUUCGACACCAAAGGGGCACAAACCAUAGGGGAUAAGCUGGCCUUAAACGAAACAAGUGAACAAAUGCAACCUGCUCGGGAUGAGGAAUUAGCACAAACAUUUGGCACUGAAGGGGCGGAAACUAUAGGGGACACGCUGGCAGAAUCAAAUGGAACAACCGACAAAGAAGAAGUGGAGAAAAAGCAAAGCAUGCAGUCCAGUGAUUCCGAAGACUCCGAAGUGACAGAGGCAUCUUUUUUGUUCCAAUUAUGUCCCAAGUAGUUCUAAUUCUAAUUAUAUUAAUCCUGCAUACCCAUUAUUCUUUGUAAUGUUGCUUCCAGGAAUUAAGCUUCCAUGAAACAAGUGAACAAAUGGAAACAAGUGAACAAAUGGAGCCAGGUGUGAACAAAGAAUUAGCACAAACGUCCAGCAUGGUAGGGGCACAAACUAGGAAGCCUAUCCGACUGCAUAACAAACCUAAGAAGGCACAAGACUACGUGGUGGUUCCAGAAGGCACGAACAAUCCUUCUAUGUCAUCCCUCGCUUGGCUACAUUUAUCUUUUUUGUUAUUAAUUAAUAAAUGUUUUACUUACAUCAUGAUAGAUUAUGCCUGCACCGGCAAUGAUUGGUCCGUGAUUGAAAGUAUCAUGUCCGAACCAAAUGAUAAAAGAAAUUUAGUGAGCAUCGACGACUCACAUCUCCAAAGAAAACAGUUAGAACGUCUAUUACUCCCCGAAGAAUUUCUUGGCGACGAAGUAAGUAUAUGUAGCUUUCAGACAAGACUAUGUUGUUUUAACAUGAGUUUCUAUUCUCUCCUCUAACUAAGGUGUACACCUCAUAUUGCAGAUCAUAGACGCAUACAUACAUUGCAUAAGUGCUAAAGAGCAUCUACAGAUGAGGUCAGGUAGAAGUGUGUUCUUAUAGAGUGCAUGCAUCUCUAAGAUGAUAAAGGAAUUUAGCUCUAUACGGGAUGACGCACCAAGAUGGGUAUUAAACAGAGCUACAACUUAUUUGGAACAUGAUAUGGUGAGUCUUCAUUCCAGUUAUUCAUUGUUACCUAAACUAACAAAAACCCUGUUUUCAGAUAUUCAUUCCAGUUAACAUUGAACACUUCCAUUGGUACCUAGCAGUUAUAAAUGUCGGGCAACGAUGCAUCCAAGUGCUCGACUCGCUAGGCCCAAGAAUGAGCCGCAAAGACCUCACCGCUAUGGUUAGUCAUUAGUCCCACUACACCAUCUUUUGAUAAGAUGAUUUCUGUUAUUGUUCGGUUGUGAUGCUAAUACUUUGUCAUUUAUUCAUUCAACAGCUCAAAGGACUAGAAAAUGUAUUCGAAUAUGCAUCGCUUCAAGUGGAACUAAAAACUGAUAAGUGGAAAGACUUAAACAUCUCAUCAUGGCCAAGGGAAGAGUGUAUUAAGAGAAAACUGCAAAGAGACUGGUAUACCUUCUAACUCAAAGGCUCAAAGUAAUUGACUUCCGAAGACUCUGAAUUUAGGCUUAUUUUGACAGCAAUCUGUAGGAGGAAUUAGUUUAAAUAAACAUGGAGUAGUUUAACAAUCUUGAAAGCAAGCUGCGCACACAUCUUACUGAAUUUAGGCUCAUCUUUCUUGAAAGCAAAGUUUUGAUAGUUUUUUAGCUUUGACAUACAAUUUUGACAGUUUGGGGACAGAUUUAGUCACUGAACCAAUUAUGACUAGGAAAUCAUUAAACUUUAGUCUCGAUAUCUGAAUUUCUAUCUCUGGACCAUGUGGCGGCAAGCAAGCAAAUUAAAUUGGUAAACAGUAUGGUGUCCAACUGAUUCAGCGCUAGAUGCCGACAGUGAUAGCACCAAGCGAAAUUCAGUAAUUAUGACCAGCAAAUCAUUAAACUUAGUCUGAAUAUCUCAAUUCUAUCUCUGGACCAUGUGGCUGUAGGCAAGCAAAUUAAAUUGGUAAAUAGUGCAAUGCCUAUCUCAUUGAACACUAGGGCCUGAUAGCAACUAGAUUCAGUCAAGCAUGCAAGUGAAUGUAGAGCAGCAGAAAAAUCAGGGAACCAGACCUAUGAAAUCAAAACGAGAGUGAGGUAGAGGGAGGCUUUACCUUGGGUUGUUGCUGCCCCAUGGCUGGGCGUCAUCCCGUGAGAGAAGCCUCACUCCUCCUCUCCCUACAUCAAGUUGGUGCAGGUGCGUGGUGAGUUGGAGGCUGGCUGCAUCCAUUGGCGUGUUGAGGUCUC